AACGAACGCUGGCGGCAGGCUUAACACAUGCAAGUCGAGCGCCCCGCAAGGGGAGCGGCAAACGGGUGAGGAAUACAUGGGAAUGUACCUUUCAGUUCGGAAUAGCCUCGGGAAACUGGGAUUAAUACCGGAUGUGCUCUACGGAGGAAAGAUUUAUCGCUGAAAGAUCAGCCCAUGCCUGAUUAGUUAGUUGGUAGGGUAACGGCCUACCAAGACAAUGAUCAGUAGCGGGUUUGAGAGGAUGAUCCGCCACACUGGGACUGAGAUACGGCCCAGACUCCUACGGGAGGCAGCAGUGAGGAAUAUUGGACAAUGGGCGCAAGCCUGAUCCAGCCAUGCCGCGUGAAUGAUGAAGGCCUUAGGGUUGUAAAGUUCUUUAAGUGGGGAAGAUAAUGACGGUACCCACAGAAUAAGCACCGGCUAACUACGUGCCAGCAGCCGCAGUAA
This 447-nucleotide ribosomal RNA is filed under the name uncultured bacterium. RNAcentral's name for it is "partial 16S ribosomal RNA". It matches the Rfam family "Bacterial small subunit ribosomal RNA", at positions 29 to 523 of the family's 1533-position model. The record is from RNAcentral.